RNAcentral lists this ribosomal RNA (280 nucleotides) under uncultured microorganism. RNAcentral's name for it is "partial 16S ribosomal RNA". It matches the Rfam family "Bacterial small subunit ribosomal RNA", at positions 505 to 796 of the family's 1533-position model. The record is from RNAcentral.
GUGCCAGCAGCCGCGGUAAUACGGAGGGUGCAAGCGUUAAUCGGAAUUACUGGGCGUAAAGCGCACGCAGGCGGUCAAUUAAGUCAGAUGUGAAAGCCCCGAGCUUAACUUGGGAAUUGCAUCUGAAACUGGUUGGCUAGAGUCUUGUAAGGGGGGUAGAAUUCCAUGUGUAGCGGUGAAAUGCGUAGAGAUGUGGAGGAAUACCGGUGGCCAAGGCGGCCACCUGGAUUAAGACUGACGCUCAGGUGCGAAAGCGUGGAUUUAGAUACCCUGGUAGUCC